UACGUAGGGUCCGAGCGUUGUCCGGAAUUAUUGGGCGUAAAGGGCUCGUAGGCGGUUUGUCGCGUCGGGAGUGAAAACUCAGGGCUUAACUCUGAGCGUGCUUUCGAUACGGGCAGACUUGAGGGAUGCAGGGGAGAAUGGAAUUCCUGGUGUAGCGGUGGAAUGCGCAGAUAUCAGGAGGAACACCGGUGGCGAAGGCGGUUCUCUGGGCAUUUCCUGACGCUGAGGAGCGAAAGCAUGGGGAGCGAACAGG
This 253-nucleotide ribosomal RNA is filed under the name uncultured Propionibacteriales bacterium. RNAcentral describes it as "partial 16S ribosomal RNA". It matches the Rfam family "Bacterial small subunit ribosomal RNA", at positions 524 to 776 of the family's 1533-position model. Lineage: Bacteria; Bacillati; Actinomycetota; Actinomycetes; Propionibacteriales. The record is from RNAcentral.